UGGUACACCUGCUGAGAUAUCACAGAA
This 27-nucleotide small RNA is filed under the name Bombyx mori (domestic silkworm). RNAcentral describes it as "ovarian small RNA-35083". The record is from RNAcentral. Lineage: Eukaryota; Metazoa; Arthropoda; Insecta; Lepidoptera; Bombycidae.